This is a long non-coding RNA of Selaginella moellendorffii, 551 nucleotides long. RefSeq lists it as uncharacterized. The transcript has 2 exons. Lineage: Eukaryota; Viridiplantae; Streptophyta; Lycopodiopsida; Selaginellales; Selaginellaceae. The record is from RefSeq and is a predicted model, not a curated record.
AGGCGCAGGGCCAAUCUCGCAUGGAACCCAGCUCAGGUUCACAGUCUCUAGGAUAUGUUGCCAUUCCUCUUUUUUUAUAGGAAUGAGAAGAUGGUCGCCAAGGGACGAGCAUAGACAACGGGUGAUGUAUGAAGAAUAAAAGAAGCUUGCUUGUCCAACAGCAAGAAUAAACGAAGCUCAAGUCUCGCUCUAUAAGCACGAACUCGCGAGGAAAAGAAUGCAGGUGUGAUAUGUGCCUUCUAGUUUUUAAAUUCCAAAGGAAUUUUCAGGCAGCCAAGGAGCGAGGAACUCAGACUGAAAAGAAGAAGGAGCUUUGGUGGAGGCUGGGACGUGCCCACGAAGGCCGGCUGACGGAGAAUGUCAAAGAGGCUUUUGCUCGAGCGAACACACAGAAAGACAUUCGAUCAACACGCUGUUAGAGAUGAAAGUUUCUUUCUAGGCAUUUUACAGUUCCUACGUGGUCAAGCGUUGCGAGUUUUCAGUUGAGAAAGACGGACUCCGGUGAGAACAGAGUGCCCAAAUAACAAUUCAUCAAAUCUGUUUAGUCUGUG